GGGCUUCGUAUGUUGUGCUUACUGCAUUUUUUCUUACACAUGUGUUUUUCUUUUUUUGAAAACUUUGCUUUGGUAGGCCUUCUAUAUGGGGCCUGCCAGAGAUUAAACUCAACCAAAUUUUAUUUAAUGUCAACCGAUUAUUUAAUAGUCAAAACUUUCAACAACGGAUCUCUUGGUUCUCGCAUCGAUGAAGAACGCAGCGAAAUGCGAUAAGUAAUAUGAAUUGCAGAUAUUCGUGAAUCAUCGAAUCUUUGAACGCACAUUGCGCCCUUUGGUAUUCCAAAGGGCAUGCCUGUUUGAGCGUCAUUUCUCCCUCAAACCCUCGGGUUUGGUGUUGAGCGAUACGCUGGGUUUGCUUGAAAGAAAGGCGGAGUAUAAACUAAUGGAUAGGUUUUUUCCACUCAUUGGUACAAACUCCAAAACUUCUUCCAAAUUCGACCUCAAAUCAGGUAGGACUACCCGCUGAACUUAAGCAUAUCAAAAGCCCGGAGGAA
RNAcentral lists this ribosomal RNA (494 nucleotides) under Lodderomyces parapsilosis. RNAcentral describes it as "eukaryotic LSU rRNA". The stretch from base 153 to 306 matches the Rfam family "5.8S ribosomal RNA". Lineage: Eukaryota; Fungi; Ascomycota; Pichiomycetes; Serinales; Debaryomycetaceae. The record is from RNAcentral.